AUGCCUCUCUCCGAAUUCCAUCGGCCGAUGACAAAGGAUAAGCCGGAAGCCACGCCAUCAAGAGUGAACAAUUGCUCGUCUGAUCUAUUCUCCAUGCCUGAUCCCGACUUUGCCGAGCUACUGUGGGAGAACGGCCAGGUUGUGAUGCAGGGUCAUUCCAGUAGGCCUAAGAAGAGCUCCUUCCCUACUAGUUUUUCUUCCCAUGCUUCUGGAGUUGAAGAGAAGGAUCACAGAGAUGUCGAUGUUCCAAAGACUUCAAGGUAUUAUGCAAUGGACCCAAUGAUUAAUGACUUCUCGCCGUCGAGGCCUUCUGCCGACGUUGGUGUCAAUGCUCAAGAUGAUGAUAUGGUCCCAUGGAUCAAUUACCCAACUGAGGAACCUCUCCCGGAUGAUACUCUUCAGAACGAUUACUGCUUGGAGUUCUUGAAUGAAUUCAUGGGGGCCAAUCUGAAUGCUCAUUCUGCCUCCAGCAAACCCAUGCCUGCCGACAGAAGCAGUGGCUUGGGCCAACAUGCUCCAAAAGCACUUACAGAGAGUAAAAGUUCAGAGCCUAGUAGAGUGAGGACCAGCCAAUUGUUUCAAAUGUUACAGCAUUCCCAGAGUUCAGCUCCAAGUUCCAAAUCAGGAGGGAUGGAUAAAGGGAUCGGUGAUGGUGCUAGAACCCUUUUGCAGAGCAAAAAUCCUGCAGGUCCCAAGCCACUGCAGCUGAAUGGUAGUGGCAUGCUGAAUUUCUCCCAUUUUUCAAGACCUGCUAUGCUGGCAAAGGCCAAUCUCCAUGGUGUUGACAGACCGAGGAGCAAUGAGAAGCUGUCCGCUCCUUCGAAUAGCAAUCCUGUGGAGUCGACAUUGAUGGAAUCGACCAGCUGUUUUCAGGGUGCUGCUGGGGUUCGAGGCAGAUCAACUUCAGGUCCUCACAAGAUGGAGUUGCAGUCCUCUGCCAAGACUCCCCAAGAGGUGAUCUCUGCCGAGCAUUCGCAGGCUAUCUGUCAACAAGAUGCUUCAAGGAAGAAUAUCCCAAAUAUCCUUACUAAUAAUUGUAGUAGACUCCCCGAUCAGCUCGCGAGCUCGAGUAUCAUGGCAAGUGUGGCCUUAAGAAGGCAGGAAACUGAAAAGGCUCCUGAAGCAGUUGUUGCUUCUUCUUCCGUGUGUUCAGCUAAUGGUGCAGGAGCAGCAUCCAAUGAUCCUAAACAACAAGAAAAGAGGAAAAGUCGCGAAGGAGAAGAAUCAGGGUACCAAAGUGAUGAUUUUGAAGAUGUGUCGGUGGGGUUGAAAAAACCUGCACCAGGACGAGGGACCAGCACAAAGAGAAGUCGCGCUGCAGAAGUACAUAAUUUAUCAGAAAGAAGGCGAAGAGAUAGGAUUAACGAGAAAAUGCGUGCACUACAAGAGCUUAUACCCAACUGCAACAAGGCGGACAAAGCUUCGAUGCUUGAAGAGGCCAUCGAGUAUCUUAAGAUGCUUCAGAUGCAAGUUCAGAUCAUGUCCAUGAAUAGUGGUUUAUGCAUGCCUCCAAUGUUGCUACCUCCAGGUAUGCAGCAUAUGCAUGUGCCAGCCAUGGCUCGUUUCUUGCCAACAGGCGUAGGGAUGGGCAUGGGUAUGGGACUUGGCUAUGGGAUGGGAAUGUAUGACAUGAAUGGCUCCCCCAGUUGCUCAAUGAUCCAUGUGCCGGCCUUUCAUGGACCGCAGUUCCCGUGCCCUUCAAUUCCGGGGCCUCUGGGCUUGCAUGGCAUGCCUGGAUCUGUCAAUCAUCAGAUGUUUGGAGUCCCAGCGCAUGGCUUCCCUUUAUCGAUGCCCCGGCCAUCGUCAUCAGGGAUUUCUGUUAAGGCAAACUCAGUGCCUGAGAUUACAGCACCAAUGACUUGUGCCAUUCCAGCUUCAGAUGCAGCUCCUGCUUCAAUUUCUGAGGAUCAACAGCACCAAAACGUGGAAACGUCACCAAGAUCAAACACCGACAACUCACAGAUUCAGAAUCCUAAUCAGGAAGUGAAGGAACCAUUUUAGCAGUCUUCUUUGGUGAAGAUGAGUAAAAAAAUUCAUCGCAUGCCAAGGAAAAUGGAUUGUUCAACUUUAUCACUGAAAAUGGAAUUAAACAAGGAGUGAAUGCCGAAAUGUUCAGGUACUGUUCAGCAUUUUAAUCAAGUAAAAAAGGUCCUGAAUUUUCUAGUCCUACAGGCUACGGUUGACAAAUAUGCAGCACUGCCUGAUUGAGAUGGGCAGCUCGCAAAAUUUCUCUAAAGGCCCGACUUCUGAAGUCAUCCACCAUGUGAAAAAUCUUGUUUUAAUACAAGACGCUUCAAAAUACCUAGAGAAGGUGUUUAUGCCUCUAUUGGGAGCACGACACAUUCGUCCACCUUGCCACUGCUGUCACUAUCAUCACAAUCAGCGUCACCGCACCUUAUCACCAUGGCAGCACCUCUUUCCUUUGGUUGUCAGUGGGCUUUGAGAUGACCUUCCAAGGUUAGCGUUUCCUGCUUCAAGCAUCUAGCAAGCACAUGCAGCUCAGCGAGCAAGCUAUUGUUGCCACUAAUAUAGUACUUGUCCUGUCACAAUCUUU
Non-coding RNA from Elaeis guineensis (African oil palm), 2554 nucleotides. Lineage: Eukaryota; Viridiplantae; Streptophyta; Magnoliopsida; Arecales; Arecaceae. The record is from RefSeq and is a predicted model, not a curated record.